This 497-nucleotide ribosomal RNA is filed under the name uncultured bacterium. RNAcentral's name for it is "partial 16S ribosomal RNA". It matches the Rfam family "Bacterial small subunit ribosomal RNA", at positions 28 to 507 of the family's 1533-position model. The record is from RNAcentral.
GAUGAACGCUGGCGGCGUGCCUAAUACAUGCAAGUCGAGCGAACAGAUGAGGAGCUUGCUCCUCUGACGUUAGCGGCGGACGGGUGAGUAACACGUGGAUAACCUACCUAUAAGACUGGGAUAACUUCGGGAAACCGGAGCUAAUACCGGAUAAUAUAUUGAACCGCAUGGUUCAAUAGUGAAAGACGGUUUUGCUGUCACUUAUAGAUGGAUCCGCGCCGCAUUAGCUAGUUGGUAAGGUAACGGCUUACCAAGGCAACGAUGCGUAGCCGACCUGAGAGGGUGAUCGGCCACACUGGAACUGAGACACGGUACAGACUCCUACGGGAGGCAGCAGUAGGGAAUCUUCCGCAAUGGGAGAAAGCCUGACGGAGCAACGCCGCGUGAGUGAUGAAGGUCUUCGGAUCGUAAAACUCUGUUAUUAGGGAAGAACAAAUGUGUAAGUAACUAUGCACGUCUUGACGGUACCUAAUCAGAAAGCAACGGCUAACUACGUG